GUGGGGAAUCUUGCGCAAUGGGCGAAAGCCUGACGCAGCCAUGCCGCGUGAAUGAUGAAGGUCUUAGGAUUGUAAAAUUCUUUCACCGGGGACGAUAAUGACAGUACCCGGAGAAGAAGCCCCGGCUAACUUCGUGCCAGCAGCCGCGGUAAUACGAAGGGGGCUAGCGUUGCUCGGAAUUACUGGGCGUAAAGGGCGCGUAGGCGGACAGCUUAGUCAGAGGUGAAAGCCCAGGGCUCAACCUUGGAAUUGCCUUUGAUACUGGCUGUCUUGAGUUUGGGAGAGGUGAGUGGAACUCCGAGUGUAGAGGUGAAAUUCGUAGAUAUUCGGAAGAACACCAGUGGCGAAGGCGACUCACUGGCCCAAUACUGACGCUGAGGCGCGAAAGCGUGGGGAGCAAACAGGAUUAGAAACCCCAGUAGUCC
Molecule: ribosomal RNA, 425 nt
Filed under: uncultured bacterium
Lineage: Bacteria
Description: bacterial SSU rRNA
Rfam family: Bacterial small subunit ribosomal RNA
Source: RNAcentral